RNAcentral lists this ribosomal RNA (443 nucleotides) under uncultured bacterium. RNAcentral's name for it is "partial 16S ribosomal RNA". It matches the Rfam family "Bacterial small subunit ribosomal RNA", at positions 338 to 795 of the family's 1533-position model. The record is from RNAcentral.
CCUACGGGUGGCAGCAGUGGGGAAUAUUGCACAAUGGGCGAAAGCCUGACGCAGCAACGCCGCGUGAAGGAAGAAGGGUUUCGGCUCGUAAACUUCUAUUCUCAGGGACGAAGAAAGUGACGGUACCUGAGGAAGAAGCCACGGCUAACUACGUGCCAGCAGCCGCGGUAAUACGUAGGUGGCAAGCGUUAUCCGGAAUUAUUGGGUGUAAAGGGUGAGUAGGCGGCAGGGUAAGUCAGAUGUGAAAGCCCUGGGCUCAACCCUGGGCUUGCAUUUGAAACUAUGUAGCUUGAGUGCUGGAGAGGCAAGCGGAAUUCCGAGUGUAGCGGUGAAAUGCGUAGAUAUACGGAGGAACACCAGUGGCGAAGGCGGAUUGCUGGACAGUAACUGACGCUGAGGCGCGAAAGCGUGGGGAGCGAACAGGAUUAGAUACCCGAGUAGUC